RNAcentral lists this ribosomal RNA (468 nucleotides) under uncultured bacterium. RNAcentral's name for it is "partial 16S ribosomal RNA". It matches the Rfam family "Bacterial small subunit ribosomal RNA", at positions 28 to 507 of the family's 1533-position model. The record is from RNAcentral.
GACGAACGCUGGCGGCGUGCUUAACACAUGCAAGUCGAACGGAAAGGCCCUGCUUUUGUGGGGUGCUCGAGUGGCGAACGGGUGAGUAACACGUGAGUAACCUGCCCUUGACUUUGGGAUAACUUCAGGAAACUGGGGCUAAUAUCGGAUAGGAGCUCCUGCUGCAUGGUGGGGGUUGGAAAGAUUCGGCGGUGGGGGAUGGACUCGCGGCUUAUCCGCUUGUUGGGGGGGUAGUGGCUGACCAAGGCUUUGAAGGGUAGCCGGCCUGAGAGGGUGACCGGCCACAUUGGGACUGAGAGACGGCCCAGACUCCUACGGGAGGCAGCAGUGGAGAAUAUUGCACAAUGGGCGGAAGCCUGAUGCAGCAACGCCGCGUGCGGGAUGACGUCCUUCGGGUUGUAAACCGCUUUCGCCUGUGACGAAGCGUGAGUGACGGUAAUGGGUAAAGAAGCACCGGCUAACUACGUG